UACGGAGGGUGCGAACGUUAAUCGGAAUUACUGGGCGUAAAGCGCACGUAGGUGGUUUGCUAAGUCAGCUGUGAAAUCCCCGGGCUCAACCUGGGCACUGCAGUUGAAACUGGCAAGCUAGAGUAGGGUAGAGGGGUGUGGAAUUCCAGGUGUAGCGGUGAAAUGCGUAGAUAUCUGGAGGAACAUCAGUGGCGAAGGCGACACCCUGGACUCAUACUGACACUGAGGUGCGAAAGCGUGGGGAGCAAACAGG
RNAcentral lists this ribosomal RNA (253 nucleotides) under uncultured bacterium. RNAcentral's name for it is "partial 16S ribosomal RNA". It matches the Rfam family "Bacterial small subunit ribosomal RNA", at positions 524 to 776 of the family's 1533-position model. The record is from RNAcentral.